AAAAAAAGGAUUUUUUGGUGUAGUAAUGUUUAUUAGGUUAACUGUCAUAAUUUUUACUUUCUAAUUGUAAGUAUCAGUGAGAACUGGAAUUAUUCAAGUAAAACUAUAUAUGUCAUUCAAGUAAUAAAUAAACUGUGUGGGAUGAGUACGUUUUAUUAUGUAUUUUCAAGUAAUAUUCAAAGGUUUCAUAGUCAUUGCACAUGAACUUAGAAAUGCCAAGUAAGUUUAAUUAGUGUUGGUGUUUGGAAUCCGCGCAUGCGCCUUGUGAUGCGCAUACAGGACGCAUGCGCUCCGUUUUCCGCCAAAACUCAAGAAGACGACAACGACGGUCAGGUUUAAUGGAGGCAGGAGCACCUAAAUUAUCUUGAAGGUAAGUAAUUCAGGGUUUUUCCUGCAUAUGUAACGAAGUUAAAAUAUAAUAUGAUCCCACUUGCCAUUAUCACACAUCACGUAUCACUGUAGCUUAAUUUUACCAUGGUUACUAAACGCAACUUACUUGUGGACUUGGGUCGUGCGCCCCGGUGUACAGUAGUCAGACCUUGCUGUCCCCUUGGUAAGUGCACAAGUUAUGAGCUCCACCAUCGUUUUCAUUAAUUAUCUUAAUUGUAUACAAAACGAGUGGUUUAUUUUGUUAUGAAACGUAUAGCUCCCAAACGGUCGAGCACCUCCUUUUAAUUUAAAAGUUGACGGUGUUUUUCUUUAUUUAGAUAAUGUGGCCAGUGUGACACGUGUUGCUAGCUAACCAGCUAACCUCUUUUAUUUUUCACUUGCAGUAAGACGUAUGUGUGUGUGUGUGUAAACCGGGACUGACUAUGAUUAAUAACAGAGCUGCCAACUCUCACGCUUUCGCUGUGUGACACCCGUGUUUGCACACGCACUCACGCCACACAUCCGAUUUCUCACACACAAAGCAAUCCGGCCGAGACCCGUUCUUUCCUUUUUCAAAACCCCCCAACGAUAGAUGGCGCUGAUGAGCGCCACUGAGCCAUGUGCGCUGCACCCCGAAAUUAGCCACAGAAGAAGAGAUACCAGUGGCGCGAAAGAACCAAAACGGAAGAAGAAACGGUCGAUACCUCAAGAAGUCUGAAGUCUGAGCUGAGACUGGCUAGGUAUGAAACAAUGAAAUAUCAUCCAAUUCAGUACUCACUCUCUCAAACUUUAAAGCACCCGUGCUAGGCUAAGUUAAUGCUGGAGCCGUCAGACAGCGUUACAGCACGCACAGAGAUGAGAAAGCGACACGUUGAAGCGAGACGGGAGGCUAUUAUUCGCGCCCUGAUGGAAUUCCUGGGGGAGUCUUCAGGUGAACUCAAGGACUACAAGGAUAUCAGCAGAGAGGAAGCUCAAGAGGACCAGGCUUAGCAAGUCCUGAGGAUCUGUGUCUUCCACACAAGUGAAGAAAAUGACGGUGCAUCCAAAAUUGAUGUGUCGAUUGUUAUUGAAGGGACUGAGGUACUUGACAUAUGUGGAAGUGUUGCAAAGGCCUGUCUCCUGCUCAUGGGCAUCAUAUAUGCCAUGAACCUGAGUUAUCCCCCAAAAACGCCUAACCCUUUUUAGUUUCAAGAUAUUCUGCACAGACGUUUAGAACCUCAGGGCAAAACACUGUUCUUUAAGAUCAAACGUUUUAAUGUUAAACCAAUAAUAAGCAUGUAUUUUAAGAUGCACUGAAGUUUCCUGAAGCAUGUCAAAUGUUUUUGUUGAGAGUUCA
Long non-coding RNA from Pungitius pungitius (ninespine stickleback), 1705 nucleotides. RefSeq lists it as uncharacterized. The transcript has 3 exons. Lineage: Eukaryota; Metazoa; Chordata; Actinopteri; Perciformes; Gasterosteidae. The record is from RefSeq and is a predicted model, not a curated record.